ACGAUGUUCCGCUGCACGAGAUGCAAGAGCAUUUG
The sequence is a regulatory RNA element, 35 nucleotides long. It matches the Rfam family "Ribosomal protein L19 leader". From Rfam's summary of the family: This family is a putative r-protein leader autoregulatory structure found in B. subtilis and other low-GC Gram-positive bacteria. It is located in the 5' untranslated regions of mRNAs encoding ribosomal protein L19 (rplS). The record is from Rfam.